AUAAACGAAAAGAUUCCAAUUGUAAUCAACGCUACAAAACGUGAUAUAAGUUCAAGCGAGGAGAACGGUACGCAGGAUGACGUUCUAGAACAUGACUCGGAUCGCAUGUUUCUAUUAAAUUUGUCGCUGUAUUUGCAUAAGGUUGGCGAUCAAGAAAAACAAAAAUUUUAUGGGCAGACAAAAAGAGUUCUGGUUUUCAAAGUGAUGGGAAGCGUUUUGAAGCAUGUUUGGAGGCAAAUGACAUAACCUUCACAUCGCGUACUAGUUUCGUAACGCUGAACGAUGAGUGUCUCGCAAGUGCCAGAGAAAAGUGCCGAACUAAUCGUCAAGGCUGCUAUCUUAUUUCGCAAUAGUGAAGAUGGUUGUCCCGAAGACCUGUGCAGAAAAGAAUUUAACUGAUUCGACAGGGCGCGAUGUCUCUCAAAAAUUCCAAAAAGACUAUCAUAUAUAUCAUACACCUAAUCCAUUUAAUUUAAAUAAGACACGUAUUGAUGCUCUUCAUACCCAUUACCGAAGGAUGAUGGGUACAUUCGUUUCGUCAAACCGUUUGUGACACCCACAAAGACCACACAAAGUACUUAUAUUUGCAAUCAGCAUCAAAUUCUGAAUCUGUGUAAGCAUACCCGUCUAUGUCAAGUCUUUUGUAAACAAUCUCCUGGCCGCAAAAAUGAAAGUAUCGCAUUUAAAUUUGGUAGAAAGAUACGAAGUUCUCGCAAGCAGAUUGCUAUUUGG
Glossina fuscipes is the source of this 732-nucleotide long non-coding RNA. RefSeq lists it as uncharacterized. Lineage: Eukaryota; Metazoa; Arthropoda; Insecta; Diptera; Glossinidae. The record is from RefSeq and is a predicted model, not a curated record. The transcript is spliced from 3 exons.